GAUCAAGGAGGAAAAAUUUGUAUCCACACAUACCACCCAAAGCAGUCAAAUCAAUAUCUCCAUCAGGCAAAUAGGUAUUUAGAGGUACAACUAAAUCACGGCAAGGUAAUUAAAUGAAUACUAUCAUUUAUCAUUUUCGCUAAAGCGAAAGGUUAAUACAAAUAAAUAAAUUGCGGCAAUGUAAGUUUCAGCCAGACAACAAAUUAAUCUAAACAAACAAUUUAUAUGCAGAAUUCAAAUUCACCCAAAUAAAUUUUCAUGCCCAAUUCAUAAACUAUACAUACAAAUAUAUCAGAAAUUGGUUGUUUUGUCGCUCAAUAAGCACAACAAUUUGAAUAAAAAAAGUCAAGGACAAAGAUUUAUACCUUUGUUUUCUGAGAUUUGUGCUCGGAUCCUUGCCAAUAUUAGAUGCAUGCACAUAAAUAUCUAACUCUAUAAUAACCUGAAACAAACAAAAGAGAUGCAUAGGGAGAAAUAAAAUACAAAGUAACAACUUCAAUCUGAACAAUCAAGACGGUGAAUUUUCGAUCGCAGCUGUUGUCCUUGCUCAGAAGAUCUGCAACAAAAGCCAAAAUGCAUCAUUUUAGAUGAUAAUUAUGCUCAAUCAAGAGACGAAAAAACAGUAGAAAGAUCGCAGAGACGAAGAGAGAGAGAGCGAGUGAAAACAAUUGCCUAACCUUGGCUUUUUUGCCGAUGGUGAAAACUCUAGGUCCCUUUCUCUUCUUCACAGAAGGGAGACAUAGCGAGAAAUUUUGGGAUAGGGAAUGACAAAAUCAUACCAUUUUGCAUGUCGAAGAUCCUCUGCGAUUUUGACAGAGAUGGAGAUGUCUCAAAAUUAAGUUUGGGUUACAGAUAUGUGGUUUUUGCAUAGUGGCAAAGACAGAGAUGGAGCUCCGAUGCGAGAUUAGAAAGAAAAAUGGAAGGUUUUGAAUGCCAGGGAUAUAAGGGUUUAGGAGCUGAGAUGCAAGUUUAGAAAGAAAAAAAGGAAUGUCUUGAAUGCCAAGAAGAAAUGGGGGAGAAAGAGAAUAGCAGAGAGAUCAAAAAAUGAAAAAAUGAAGGGAGUUAUUAGACGGACGUAGGCUUUGUCGUCAGGGACAAAAUCGGUAAGUCAAUGUUGGACCAUAUUAAUUGGACUGGUUUGGUGUUGGGCUUUAUCCUAACCAUUAAAUAAAGUUAGUACAUGG
RNAcentral lists this long non-coding RNA (1184 nucleotides) under Malus domestica (apple). RNAcentral describes it as "long non-coding RNA (MDOM_LNC015491)". Lineage: Eukaryota; Viridiplantae; Streptophyta; Magnoliopsida; Rosales; Rosaceae. The record is from RNAcentral.